AUUGAACGCUGGCGGCAGGCCUAACACAUGCAAGUCGAACGGUAACAGGAAGCAGCUUGCUGCUUCGCUGACGAGUGGCGGACGGGUGAGUAAUGUCUGGGAAACUGCCUGAUGGAGGGGGAUAACUACUGGAAACGGUAGCUAAUACCGCAUAACGUCGCAAGACCAAAGAGGGGGACCUUCGGGCCUCUUGCCAUCGGAUGUGCCCAGAUGGGAUUAGCUAGUAGGUGGGGUAACGGCUCACCUAGGCGACGAUCCCUAGCUGGUCUGAGGGGAUGACCAGCCACACUGGAACUGAGACACGGUCCAGACUCCUACGGGAGGCAGCAGUGGGGAAUAUUGCACAAUGGGCGCAAGCCUGAUGCAGCCAUGCCGCGUGUAUGAAGAGGGCCUUCGGGUUGUAAAGUACUUUCAGCGGGGAGGAAGGCGAUAAGGUUAAUAACCUUGUCGAUUGACGUUACCCGCAGAAGAAGCGCCGGCUAACUCCGUGCCAGCCGCCGUAACAC
This 506-nucleotide ribosomal RNA is filed under the name uncultured bacterium. RNAcentral's name for it is "partial 16S ribosomal RNA". It matches the Rfam family "Bacterial small subunit ribosomal RNA", at positions 30 to 526 of the family's 1533-position model. The record is from RNAcentral.